RNAcentral lists this long non-coding RNA (575 nucleotides) under Phasianus colchicus (ring-necked pheasant). RNAcentral describes it as "lncRNA (ENSPCLG00000021946.1)". The record is from RNAcentral. Lineage: Eukaryota; Metazoa; Chordata; Aves; Galliformes; Phasianidae.
CUGCUUUUCAGCAUUAUCUUCUGGCUCUAGUUCCCUCGUGCUGGUUUGCAGCUGCUAAGAUACCCAGAAUUGUUUGAAUUAGCAGUUGACUUUAGACUGCUUUUUUACAGGGAAGAAAGUCUUGGUUGUUCCAUGUCUGCCUCUAAUAUUAUAAUGAAGAGCCUCGAAUAUGCAGCAUUGCUUUGAGUUACGUACUGUCCUCAGUGCUCCUACAUUUUGUCAAAUUCUCUGUCAUGGAGUCCUACAGUAGGGUUUUCUGUCUUCCUUCUAUGAGGAAUCCCUGCUCCAGGCAUUGGAUGUAUAAAAUUGCAAAAGCUUUCCAUAUGUGUGCUGACCCAGCCGGAUAGCAUCUGUUUUUCAGAGGGUAAGAGAGGAGAAUGAUUGAGACACAAAGGACAGUAACCCAGCUGAGCAGCCCAUCUGUUGCUGGGAGGAGCAUGGAAAGGAACGAAGGAAGCUGGAAAGCACGUAAUACUGCUGAAAAGAUGCAAAGAGAAGAUGCAAUUCUAUUAAGGUGUUCCAUCUAUGACUUUGCUGAGUUAUGCAAGUGCAAAGUCGAAACUAUUUCUCAGUAG